This 841-nucleotide unclassified non-coding RNA is filed under the name uncultured bacterium. Its description in RNAcentral is "partial contains 16S-23S ribosomal RNA intergenic spacer and 23S ribosomal RNA". The stretch from base 729 to 841 matches the Rfam family "Bacterial large subunit ribosomal RNA", at positions 1 to 113 of the family's 2925-position model. The record is from RNAcentral.
UCUAGAGUACUUCUCUCGCCAAGCCCGCAAGGGCGACGCGGAGACAUCUCGAAGAUCGAUCUGGCUCUUAGGGGUUGUUUAGCAAAGCGCGCACUAUCUAGUUUUGAGAGAACCGGCUUGGGCCAUGGCCCUUGGUUCUUUGAAGAUGUCGGGCCUGUAGCUCAGCUGGUUAGAGCACACGCUUGAUAAGCGUGGGGUCACUAGUUCGAAUCUAGUCAGGCCCACCACCACGCGAGCGUAAGGAGUGACUUAUUGAGAUUGCGUCGUUCCUGAUGCGAUGGAGUUAGUUCGGUCGUAACAUCACCAGACUUUCCUUCCUUCGCACCAGACAACAAGCAUCGAUCAACUCAAUACGGGGAAUUAGCUCAGCUGGGAGAGCGCCUGGUUUGCAACCAGGAGGUCACCGGUUCGAGCCCGGUAUUCUCCAGUCUUCGUUCGGCCGGAGUGAUGGCGUGACCAACGCCACGCGGAGGCGAACGUCGGUCAGGCAGGCUGAGAAGCCGGUCCAGGCAGCGAAUUGUUAAGACAGGACAAGUGCCUGUCUCGCCGAAGCCGAAGGGCGGAGGCGGAAAUCUUUGACAACUGAAUAUCCUGCAAACGGUAGUUUUUCCGACCACACAUUCAUUCGCCCGAGCUCGUAAGAGCGAAGGCGAACAACGCAGUGUGCAUAAAACUGUCGCACGCCAGGGAUGCGAAUCCCUGGUGAGCGUUAGUUUCGAGUUUCUUAUGGUCAAGCUACUAAGGGUGUACGGUGAAUGCCUUGGCAUCAAGAGUCGAUGAAGGACGCGAUAAGCUGCGAUAAGCCCCGGUGAGCCGCAAAUGGGCUUUGACCCGGGGAUUU